Molecule: ribosomal RNA, 628 nt
Filed under: Dinobryon sp.
Lineage: Eukaryota; Chrysophyceae; Chromulinales; Dinobryaceae
Description: eukaryotic LSU rRNA
Rfam family: Eukaryotic large subunit ribosomal RNA
Source: RNAcentral
GUAAAGUAUCCUGGAAUGGAUCGCCUUGGAGGGUGACAGCCCCGUUCAUACCUGACAUAAUGGUUGUACGACCGGCUUUCUACGAGUCGAGUUGUUUGGGAUUGCAGCUCUAAGUGGGUGGUAAAUUCCAUCUAAAGCUAAAUAUUGAUGGGAGACCGAUAGCGAACAAGUACCGUGAGGGAAAGAUGCAAAGAACUUUGAAAAGAGAGUUAAAUAGUACCUGAAAUUGCUGAAAUGGAACCGAUGGGAAGCAGUGUUGGUGCUGGUAUUCAUACCGGUAACAAGUCAAGCUUCCUUAAUUGUGUGGGAAAGGCUUCUGAACCAGUUGGGUCAGUUUUGCUAUCAUGCGAUUGAGGGACUUUGACAAAAUGCUUCUUAUCAUCCCGUCUUGAAACACGGACCAAGGAGUCUAACAUGUGUGCGAGUGCUCGGGGUUUACCCCCCAGCGCGGAAUUAAUGUAAAGGUGGAUUUAUUCACUGAGGUAGGAUCUUUGCACUAUCGACCGACCAUGAUCCUCCGGGAGAAAGGUUUGAGUGUGAGCAUACAUGUUGGGACCCGAAAGAUGGUGAACUAUGCCUGAGUAGGGCGAAGCCAGGGGAAACUCUGGUGGAGGCCCGCAGCGAUUCU